CGCAUCUGUGCAUGCAGCAUAUCAAUAAGCGGAGGAAAAGAAACUAACAAGGAUUCCCCUAGUAACGGCGAGUGAAGCGGGAAGAGCUCAAAUUUGAAAUCUUAAAGGGUUUCCCUUUACGAAUUGUAGUUUAAAGAAGUGUUUUCUGUUGAGGUUUUGGUAAAAGUUCUUUGGAAUAGGACAUCAUAGAGGGUGAGAAUCCCGUAUUUGACCUUUACUUUCAACUUUGUGAUACACUUUCAAAGAGUCGGAUUGUUUGGGAAUGCAGUCCAAAAUGGGUGGUAAAUUUCAUCUAAAGCUAAAUAUUGGCGAGAGACCGAUAGCGAACAAGUACCGUGAGGGAAAGAUGAAAAGAACUUUGAAAAGAGAGUUAAACAGUACGUGAAAUUGUCAAAAGGGAAGCGUUUGACACCAGUGUUGUUUUUCUGAAAAUCAAUUAAAGAACUGUUUAUGCUAAGCUGUUUAGACUUUAUCAGCUAACUGUUUAGUUUUGAGCUUUUCUUUAAUGCACUUUUCAGUUAACAAGUCAACAUCAAUCUCUUUUGCUGUAAAAAAAGCUUGAGGAAGGUGGCUUGAGAUUCGUCUUAAGUGUUUAUAGCCUCUUGCCUAUGCAGUCGGAGAGAUUGAGGUCUGCAGCGUAGAUCCUUCGGGGCUAAAUGCAUUUGUGCUAAGUUAUAACAUUUUAUAGACAACUUGUUGACUAUGAUUUGUCUUGUAGCUUACUCGCUUAUGUUAUUUUACCUACGCUUAGGAUGUUGAGCGCAUGUCUCUCUCU
This 775-nucleotide ribosomal RNA is filed under the name uncultured Neocallimastigales. RNAcentral describes it as "partial large subunit ribosomal RNA". It matches the Rfam family "Eukaryotic large subunit ribosomal RNA", at positions 26 to 616 of the family's 3401-position model. The record is from RNAcentral. Lineage: Eukaryota; Fungi; Neocallimastigomycota; Neocallimastigomycetes; Neocallimastigales.